AAGAGUGAAUAACUUUCAGAUUUUUGAGUGGCCCAUUUGUACCUUGUAAUGGCUGUCAGACCUAGAAGUGUUCGGUUAUAAUGUGAGUCAAGAAACUAGGCUAAGUACUGACAAAGAAAAUGGGUUUUCCCUCUAUCCACGAGCUGACUUCAGUGAGUGGAAGACACUCACUUUAAAAGCUGAGAAGCCAAUGCCAAUAUCCAUCAGCUAGGAGAUAUUCAGCUAAGAUUGCUUAUAACUUAGUGAAGUAAGGGAAGGCUAGGUAUUUGCCUAUUCAAUCAACAUAAGUAUAAAAGGAUUAUAUUUUUUAUAUUUCAUUGUUCAUAUUAUUUGUCCCCUUUCAUUGAAUAAUUUUAUCAAGUAGUUUAGGAGUAUUCAACUGAUCGAGGAUCUUCUGGUCAACCCUCUCCACAAACAUCUUGCCUUGGCAAGGAGAUGACCUUGUAUUCUCAAAGGCUAUACCAGUUGUGUGUAUACAGCUGUAUUGCUGCCUUACUCCUCCCAAAAGGAUGGAAAAUUCAGGAUCUAGCCUGGAUGUAAACACUGAAAGGAGGGGAAGAGCCAAGAUGGUGGCUUAGUAGCAGCAAAACCUGGAACAUCUCUGAGAAUCCUCCCAAACCAAAAUCAUUCCCAUAAUACACAAACUUCAUGCAUUUUGAGUGGCAGAUGGCUGAAAAUACCUUCAUCUUCCUCAAUUCCUAAUUCUACUUCAAGGUGCUGCCCAGGACUUCUCAAAAGAAAGAAUUCUAAUGACGAUCAAAUGAGAUAACAUAUGAAAAAAAUGUUUUGAAAGUCUAAAAGUUCUACAAAUGACUAUCAGUAUUACUAAUCUUGAACAAGUCAUUUUACCUCUAUCCACCUAUUUUCUAAUCAAUAAAACAAAGAG
This 886-nucleotide long non-coding RNA is filed under the name Monodelphis domestica (gray short-tailed opossum). RNAcentral describes it as "lncRNA (ENSMODG00000036986.1)". Lineage: Eukaryota; Metazoa; Chordata; Mammalia; Didelphimorphia; Didelphidae. The record is from RNAcentral.